Long non-coding RNA from Bactrocera latifrons, 762 nucleotides. RefSeq lists it as uncharacterized. The record is from RefSeq and is a predicted model, not a curated record. Lineage: Eukaryota; Metazoa; Arthropoda; Insecta; Diptera; Tephritidae. The transcript is spliced from 2 exons.
AAAAAUAAUUUCGCAAAUUCUACUGUUUCUCUCACUUUCUCAUUUCCUGAGCUGGAAACUAGAGAUAUUCAAUGAAAAAGCCAGUCAGUUACUCAAGCAAAAUGGAACAAGUUAUCCAAAUUGUAAAUAUUUUGGAAUUAUAAUUUUUUAAAGCAGUUAAGAACCUCUUCAACGAAGUCCAAUUCGAAUCUAAUACAUUUGGGCCGGUUUUUCGAAUAACUUUUGUGCUUUAAUCUGAAGCUAGUGUGGUCAAGUUGAAAAAAUCUUUGAGGGUCUAGUAAUCCAUAUCUAUAAAUUUACUGCUAUCAAGAUCAACUAGUCUUUUCAGCAACUAGCUAGAGCUGGAGUCAAAUGCAAACCUUUCAUUGGAGUUUUUAUACCCUUGCAACAUGUUGCUACAGAGCAUAAUAGCUUUGUUUACCUUAAGGUUGCAAGUACCACAUAAAACUAGUCGAGAUAGAUAUAGGGUUAAGCUAUAUAAGUGUAUUUUGGCAUUUGGCAUUGCAGUAGCAAGUUGUAUCUGUGGACUAAAAAUUUUGGAAAAGUGGGCAUGGCACCGCCCUCUAAUACGUUUAAUGGUUAUAUGAAAAAUAAAUGAAAGAGACCCCAUCUUUCUUGCCGGAAUAUUAAACGGAUUCAGCGAAUCUAAGUAGCAGUCUAGUGAUUUCUAAACGUGUCAGGUAUUAAAUAUAAUAUGAUAACUGUAAUGUCAAUGUUAAUAUUGUUAGAAAAUAAAGGAAGUACUUUACAUCUACAUUUAAA